RNAcentral lists this ribosomal RNA (443 nucleotides) under uncultured bacterium. RNAcentral's name for it is "bacterial SSU rRNA". It matches the Rfam family "Bacterial small subunit ribosomal RNA", at positions 958 to 1397 of the family's 1533-position model. The record is from RNAcentral.
AACGCGAAGAACCUUACCUGGGCUCGAACGGCUGAGGAAAUCUGGUGGAAACACUGGCUCUCCCCUUAAAAGGACCUUAGUCGAGGUGCUGCAUGGCUGUCGUCAGCUCGUGUCGUGAGAUGUUGGGUUAAGUCCCGCAACGAGCGCAACCCUUGUCCUGUGUUGCUAAUCCGCAAGGAUGCACUCUCAGGAGACCGCCAGCGAUAAGUUGGAGGAAGGUGGGGAUGACGUCAAGUCAUCAUGGCCUUUAUGUCCAGGGCUACACACGUGCUACAAUGGACGGUACAAAGCGCUGCAAACCCGCGAGGGGGAGCUAAUCGCAAAAAACCGUUCUCAGUUCGGAUUGCAGGCUGCAACUCGCCUGCAUGAAGCUGGAAUCGCUAGUAAUGGCAUAUCAGAACGAUGCCGUGAAUACGUUCCCGGGCCUUGUACACACCGAUAGC